GUUACUGCAGAAGCUGCUUUUCUAUUUCCCUCCAAAUUCUGAUACUGAAUUAAACAGUUAUGUUCUUGGUGAUAAGUCAAUACUAAAAGAUGCUGGGAUUGAAGAUUUGAAGGAUGUGGAAGCAUUGCCACCACCUCCAGAAAUUAAAGAUGCCCCAAGGUACAAAGGGGAUGUUAGUUAUUUCAUCUGUACAAGACCAGGCCGGGGUCCGGUUUUGCUCUCUGAUGAAAGUCAGGCUCUUCCCUGAAACUGGGCUCCCUAAAUAAAAGGGGCAUCCGUUGGCCCUUUUCUUUCACUUCUGUUAUCUUGUGGUGUCGAGGCAAACCUCACUUUGAGCCUGAUGAUUGUUUUCUGUAAUUGAAGUUACAGGGAAGCAAUCCUCUGUAACUGUUCCUUACGAACUUGCAGUGAUGCGGCUUUUGUCUUGCAUUUGUAAUUCAUUUUUUUGCUUCAGGGUCCAUUUAGAGUUUACUUACUCGUGAAGAACAGUUCAUUUAAGUUUCUUUCAGCCGCAAGUCUUGAAAUAGCUUAUACAGUGAUU
This 541-nucleotide unclassified non-coding RNA is filed under the name Hevea brasiliensis (rubber tree). The record is from RNAcentral. Lineage: Eukaryota; Viridiplantae; Streptophyta; Magnoliopsida; Malpighiales; Euphorbiaceae.